GGAGCUUACCAUGCAGUCGACGCUGAGCUUGGUGCUUGCACUGGGUGGAUGAGUGGCGAACGGGUGAGUAAUACGUGAGUAACCUGCCCUUGACUCUGGGAUGAGCCUGGGAAACUGGGUCUAAUACUGGAUAUGACAUGUCACCGCAUGGUGGUGUGUGGAAAGGGUUUUACUGGUUUUGGAUGGGCUCACGGCCUAUCAGCUUGUUGGUGGGGUAAUGGCUCACCAAGGCGACGACGGGUAGCCGGCUUGAGAGGGUGACCGGCCACACUGGGACUGAGACACGGCCCAGACUCCUACGGGAGGCAGCAGUGGGGAAUAUUGCACAAUGGGCGGAAGCCUGAUGCAGCGACGCCGCGUGAGGGAUGACGGCCUUCGGGUUGUAAACCUCUUUCAGCACGGAAGAAGCGAAAGUGACGGUACGUGCAGAAGAAGCGCCGGCUAACUACGUGCCAGCAGCCGCGGG
RNAcentral lists this ribosomal RNA (466 nucleotides) under uncultured bacterium. Its description in RNAcentral is "bacterial SSU rRNA". It matches the Rfam family "Bacterial small subunit ribosomal RNA", at positions 43 to 521 of the family's 1533-position model. The record is from RNAcentral.